UACGUAGGGUGCAAGCGUUGUCCGGAAUUAUUGGGCGUAAAGAGCUCGUAGGCGGUCUGUCGCGUCUGCUGUGAAAACUCAGGGCUUAACCCUGAGCUUGCAGUGGGUACGGGCAGACUAGAGUGCGGUAGGGGAGACUGGAAUUCCUGGUGUAGCGGUGAAAUGCGCAGAUAUCAGGAGGAACACCGGUGGCGAAGGCGGGUCUCUGGGCCGUAACUGACGCUGAGGAGCGAAAGCAUGGGGAGCGUACAGG
Molecule: ribosomal RNA, 253 nt
Filed under: uncultured bacterium
Lineage: Bacteria
Description: partial 16S ribosomal RNA
Rfam family: Bacterial small subunit ribosomal RNA
Source: RNAcentral